RNAcentral lists this ribosomal RNA (327 nucleotides) under uncultured Spirochaetota bacterium. RNAcentral describes it as "bacterial SSU rRNA". It matches the Rfam family "Bacterial small subunit ribosomal RNA", at positions 29 to 351 of the family's 1533-position model. The record is from RNAcentral. Lineage: Bacteria; Pseudomonadati; Spirochaetota.
AACGAACGCUGGCGGCGUGCUUAACACAUGCAAGUCGAACGCGAAAGUUUUCUUCGGAAGACGAGUAGAGCGGCGGACUGGUGAGUAACGCGUGGGUGAUCUGCCCUUGGGAUGGGGAUAGCCACUAGAAAUAGUGGGUAAUACCGAAUACGUUCGGCACUUCGGUGUGCCGAGGAAAAGCGCUUCGGCGCUGCCCGAGGAUGAGCCCGCGUCCCAUUAGCUAGUUGGUGAGGUAAGAGCCCACCAAGGCGAUGAUGGGUAGGCGGCCUGAGAGGGUGUACGCCCACACUGGGACUGAGAUACGGCCCAGACUCCUACGGGAGGCAG